RNAcentral lists this long non-coding RNA (12175 nucleotides) under Eucalyptus grandis. Its description in RNAcentral is "long non-coding RNA (EGRA_LNC006603)". The record is from RNAcentral. Lineage: Eukaryota; Viridiplantae; Streptophyta; Magnoliopsida; Myrtales; Myrtaceae.
AUAACUUUAUGAAAAAAAAAAAGGCCUUUGCUUAACACGCUAAAUUGGCUUUGAUAGACAUGAUCAUAGGCAACCAAAAAAAUUCCACAAAUCCAUGUCCGCCCGUCACCUGCUAAGCUACUUUACAUCAAUGUCACAACUUCGCAAGUGACAAGUUCGCAGCCCACGGGCGUAAACUCAUAGCAAAGGGGGAAAAAAUCAAGAAGAAAAGGGAGGGAACUAGCGACGACUCCCAAAAGAUACUGCUACUCGUCGUCGAGAUCCUCGUCUUCCUGAUCUUCAGCGAUCGUCUCCAAUUCCGUAUGUCUGAGAUUUCUGUCGCGAGCCGGGACGAGAAGAGCCGGUGCCGCCUCCAUCCACGGACUCGUCGAUACUCCGAUUCCCUUCACCAUGUCGCGGUCGUGGUUCUCGCCUCCGAUUCGAGAGCUCAAGCUUUGCUGGACUCGACUGAGUGAGCUCCGGUUGAAAUCGCAGGAAGAAGAAAGAGAGAAUUUCACAGCUCCUAUGAGACCGAAUCUCCAGUUGUCCCUCAGGAGCUCGGUGGUAGAGCCGUCGACCGUUAACUGAUCUGAGAGAGUGAGAGAGUGAGAGAGCGUUGGCUGGCUGGAGAAAAUAGGGGGGCGAGGGGUUUUUUAUAUGGACGGCAAGGAUGACCUUUUAAUUACUCCAAGAAAAACGUGGGGUUUAUCGCUACUUGGGGAAGCUUCGUCCUCCCUUCACUCUCGCGUGUUUGAAGGCCAAAGGCAAGUGGGGAACAAGGGACGUGUGAACGCGGGUAUUGGACUUUGAUCGGGCCCCAUUAAUUUAAAGGAAAAUCUCACUAAAGUGAUUCAUUUUUUUUUCCCGUGCACAACGUGGUACAAACUCUUUCUGUAAAACCAUUACCCCAAAUUUGUACUAGUGAUAUACUUUCCAUCAACGGUAGUUUUUUAGAUUAAUAUUGCGAAAAAUCACAAACUAGUACGCCUAUUACAAGCAUAAGGUAAAACUUCAAAUUAACACAUUUAUUAAUUAUCACGUAUCAUCCAAUUCAAUAAUUUAAUGAAAAUUAUUAUAAGGUAAAUUUAUUGUAAGUGUACUAGUUUAUGGAGUUUUAGGAAGUUAGAAAAUUAGUUCAGAGAAAAUUUGUUAAAGUCGAAACAUGUAUGCUAUCCCCAACUAACAAGCUUCUCAUGCCAUUUUUAAUGGACCGCCUCUUAGUUUCUUGACUCUUUACUCUUGAAUAUAGACGUUAGAAUCUCAGAUUUUCUAAUCCACAAGUUCCAAAAAGUGGCAAAUGAAGAGUGUACUUAGAAUCAUACCACUUUACCAAGCUAAUAACAAAAUUCUAAUCAAAAUAAGCCAUUCUGGGGGAGGAAGAAAAAGGACUUAGAAAGUCAUGAGUGUUAGAGAAAUCCCUUAUGAUGUUUUGAAGAUGACAAAAUAAAUCAAAGGCUACUAACAUGUUUGAUGGUUGAGUAAUAGACCAUGCAGAUAAUAGAACAUGUAAAGGAUAUUAUCAAAGUCUGAAGACUGCCAGACUCGAGACUCAAAGUCUGAAGACUGCCAGACUCAAGACUCAAAGUCUGAAGACUGCCAGACUUUAGUGUCAAAGUCUGUUCUACAUCAGAAGUCUGCUCACUCUGACAAAUUCCAGACUGAACGUGAAAGCUGAACCAGAAGACAGACUCUAUGCUGAAGCUGAACUGGGUAGAGACUCAUAUUGCAAAGUCUACAGACCCAGAUUGUAAAGUCUCAAGACUCAUAUCGUAAAGUCUAAAGACUCAGACUUUACAUCCAGAUUCAAUGAAUCGUAACUCAAGCCCAAUCAUACAACGGCUAGUGAUCUGGUUUGGAUUCCACAUCAAGAUUGAUUUGAUUGAAGACAAGAACUUUCUAUACGAAGAAGCUUUACUUAUGGAAACCAAGAUUUCGUUUGUAUGGGCGAUCGGAAUCAAUUUGGGAUUUUACCUUUGUCACUCAACGGCUACCAAAUCUUCUAAAUACAGAGCUGUCCAAUGGGUAUAUUGGAAGACGAUUCUCCGGGAUACUGUCCAACGGUAGUUUGGAAGUGGAGGAGUAUUUAAGGAGAUCAUGGACCGAUGAGCAAGUAAGAGACGGAGAGUAGAAUUUAUAAUUCCAAAGUCUAAGCGACUUUAGAUCAUAUACUUGUCUCUUGAGAGCUUAAACGUUUGUAAUCGUGAGAGAAAUACCAAGAGAGUGACUUAGUGAGAUAGUGUGAUCUACUACUAAGUGUUUGCACUCGGAGUUGUAAUCUCUUGUUGAUUGCAUAGUGGAAUCCAGCCAAGAAGGCUGUUAUCGUGGGAGAGUGGACGUAGGCUUGGAUUAAGCCGAACCACUAUAAAUCUCGUGUUCUUAUUCUCUUCCUUAACUCCUUUAUUUUGUUCAUACUAGCACUCUCAAUUGGUAUCAGAGCCAAGUGCUCGGUUUAUAAAAGUGUUUUUACUUUUGAGCUAAAGAUUCUUUAUGGCUAGUAUGUUGGCACCAGGUCUUAUGGAAGGGCAAAGCAACACAAGGCCACCAUAUUUCGAUGGAAGAAAAUACAAGCAGAAUGGCCAGAAAAGAACAAAAAAGAAGAAGAUGAUGAGCAAGAAAAUUUAUGCUUGAUGGAACAUUCAGAAUCUGAGUCUCACUCAGACAUAGACUCAGAAACAGAGUCUCAUUCAGAACCAGACUCAGAAUCCGAUGAGGAAAUUAAGGGGAGAAAUCAAAUCCAAAAGAAAAGGAAAAGAAUCGUGAUCAUCUCAAAAAGGCAACAAAUUGAGGGGGAGCUUUGAUCAAUUAUGGAAAAAUCUUUUUUGAUUGAUCGUGAUCUUAUUAUGGAUGGAAGGAAAGGUAAUUGUGUCAGAAUUUAUUCUACAAAAUCCGGUUAGUGCAUCUCUUAUUACCUUUUGUCAUUAACAAAUCUCAUAUUGAUAUUAUCAUGUUAUUAUGACAAAAAUGGUACGUGAAUUUUAUGAUGCAUCCGUGAUUUUUAUUGGAUAUUUAUUGAUAUGAUCGAAGUGAGCUAUAUUGCAUAUCUUUAAUAUUCGAUAAAAGCUGAUUUUUUGAAAUUGUGAUUCAUGCAAGAUAUUUGUUAUCAUUCUCUACGUGAAUCCAUUAUUAUCGCUUUUUGAUUAAGACAAAAAGGGGGAGAAGAUAUGAAUAUGCAUAUGUGCUGAUUGGUUGAUAUUAUUUAUUGCAUAAUAUUGAGCUGCGAUUAUUUUCUAAAUAUUAUUAUGCUCAAUCUAUUUGUUAUCUUCUGAUAUCCUUUGAUUUAAAUUAAUAAAAGCGUGUUUACAAAUCUGCAUAUUCAGAGAUUGUUUUGUCAUCAUCAAAAAGGGGGAGAUUGUUAGAGAAAUCCCUUAUGAUGUUUUGAAGAUGACAAAAUAAAUCAAAGGCUACUAACAUGUUUGAUGGUUGAGUAAUAGACCAUGCAGAUAAUAGAACAUGUAAAGGAUAUUAUCAAAGUCUGAAGACUGCCAGACUCGAGACUCAAAGUCUGAAGACUGCCAGACUCAAGACUCAAAGUCUGAAGACUGCCAGACUUUAGUGUCAAAGUCUGUUCUACAUCAGAAGUCUGCUCACUCUGACAAAUUCCAGACUGAACGUGAAAGCUGAACCAGAAGACAGACUCUAUGCUGAAGCUGAACUGGGUAGAGACUCAUAUUGCAAAGUCUACAGACCCAGAUUGUAAAGUCUCAAGACUCAUAUCGUAAAGUCUAAAGACUCAGACUUUACAUCCAGAUUCAAUGAAUCGUAACUCAAGCCCAAUCAUACAACGGCUAGUGAUCUGGUUUGGAUUCCACAUCAAGAUUGAUUUGAUUGAAGACAAGAACUUUCUAUACGAAGAAGCUUUACUUAUGGAAACCAAGAUUUCGUUUGUAUGGGCGAUCGGAAUCAAUUUGGGAUUUUACCUUUGUCACUCAACGGCUACCAAAUCUUCUAAAUACAGAGCUGUCCAAUGGGUAUAUUGGAAGACGAUUCUCCGGGAUACUGUCCAACGGUAGUUUGGAAGUGGAGGAGUAUUUAAGGAGAUCAUGGACCGAUGAGCAAGUAAGAGACGGAGAGUAGAAUUUAUAAUUCCAAAGUCUAAGCGACUUUAGAUCAUAUACUUGUCUCUUGAGAGCUUAAACGUUUGUAAUCGUGAGAGAAAUACCAAGAGAGUGACUUAGUGAGAUAGUGUGAUCUACUACUAAGUGUUUGCACUCGGAGUUGUAAUCUCUUGUUGAUUGCAUAGUGGAAUCCAGCCAAGAAGGCUGUUAUCGUGGGAGAGUGGACGUAGGCUUGGAUUAAGCCGAACCACUAUAAAUCUCGUGUUCUUAUUCUCUUCCUUAACUCCUUUAUUUUGUUCAUACUAGCACUCUCAAUGAGAGAUGUCACAAUAUGGAUUCAUUUAGGGAAGGCUAGUCUGCCCCUUCAAUACACAAUACAUUGCCCUAUAUAGGCAUGAGUUGCAUCGAACAUCACAAGGCAUCUAGAGGAUAAGUCCCUCUAAUGAUGCUACAGAUAAUAGAUAUGAAAGCCACAAAAUACGAAGGAUGGUUAAAGCAUUACAAACAAAGCACACUCCAUGCCAGGCUUGCUAAAGCAUGUGAUAAAGCAUAAAGCACCCUCCACACCUAGUACACUAGUAAAGCACACCAUUCUUAUUAUCGAAUUCCUCUUCAGUGCUGUCUACUAAACUAUCUAAGCUUUCUCUGUCUUUUGCUUUGCGAAAGGCGUGAAUAAGGCUGCCAAUCUUCCACUAUGACAAAAGCUGAUCAGCAGCAAGGUUGUUAGGGAUUCUUGAUGAAGAUGGACCAUCUAUUCUUCUUUUCUUAAAGGGAGAUGACUAGUCUGUCUAGGGUUGUGGCCAAUGAGACCAAUCUUCGAAAAUGGUGGAAGCCAACUAUAAAUCUAUGUUGAUGAAUUCAGAUGAGUGUGGGUCUUGGACUAGUGGCCCACCCCAUGGAUCUUGGGAGGACUAAGUGGGCACUUAAUCAUGGUCGGAACUAAGAUCCUCUCCAUGGUAUUCUCUUAAGGCUUGACAAAUUUGGUGGCUUAUUUCGGGGAAUUCUAGAUUAGUGUGUUGCUAGACUUUGCUACCUUCUUAGCCAAAUCUCUAGAGGAAUCACUCUGUUGUGUUGGUACAAAAUUCUCUGAAGUUCCUUAUAUUCCUAUGGGAUUUGUCUAAUUUUUGCUAAGAGGGUUUUGAAAAUAUCAUUUGUUCUUGGUUGAGGCUUGAAGUAAAGACACCAACCUUUGCCGGAGUCAGUUAAGAUCUCCACUUGGCCUAAGAAACAUCCAUGAUCUGUGAAAGAUGAUUAAAAUGCGAAGUUCUGGAUUUGGCUAGCAAACUUUCAAUUGUUCUUUAAAAACUAAUCUUUAGAUUCCUAAAAGGUUUAAACCAUCACCAUAAUCCUCCCAAAUGCACAAAAUCUGAUUGUCCUUGGAUAAUUAGGCUAAUGAUGAGAGGCAUUUUAGCUGUAGGAAAUUUGACAACAACUAUAUACAGAAUAAGCAUAUACCAAAUGAGCCAUUUAAGGUAUCCUUGAAAUGGGUCUAUGGGUGAGAUGGUAAAAGGAUACAUGAAUGGAUACUUAGGAUAUAAUCCCAAGGGUCUCAAACAUAAUCCACCAUAUCUGUUGAAGAUUCUUAGCUGAUAAACCAAUAGUAGAUUAAUUAAGUUUUCAAAGACAACAUUGCCUUAAAUGAGUUCUGAAAUUUUAGAAGGAUAUUUCCUACUUGGCCAUUUUGGCAACAUUGGUUGAGCUCAAAUUUGGUCACUAGCUACAUGAAAUUCAUUGGGGCUUGAUUUGGCCUGGAUAGAAAAUCUACAAGCACAUUCUUUUUUUUUUCUCCUGUAAUGCGUUUGGUUUCAAAAGAGUAUUUGAAAAACCAUUUUGACCAUCUCAAAUGCUAUGGGUGCAAAUUGUCUUUUGCUUGAAUUUCAACAUUUGGAGAAAAGAAGACAUGUCCAAUUCGACAAGAAAAUGGUGACUUAAGAGAUGGAAUUUGAAUUUCUUAAUCUCAUACUUAACAACCAAGAUUGCUUUGAACGUAGAAUAGUAAUGAAUUUUUGUUUGGGACAAUCUUCCACUUUCGUGUCCACAAAUUCUCCAAUGAGAUGGUGACGAAUAAGACUCCACGGACCAGAGACUAUGGUUAGUGAUGCUACUAGCUCUCCAAAUUUGGCUGUCGAUGUCACUUGUCCCGCCGACCCCGCUAACUCUCUAGAUUUUGACCGUCCAUGGCGGUCGGUGUCUCUUGCGAGCCCUACUCGUCCAUAGGUGGUGAUGCUACGGGCCCUCUAGAUCAGGCCAAUCAUGGUUGUCGGCAUCGCUCGUGGGCUUUGCUCGUCCAUGGCUUGUGGUGCUGCUAUCCAUGGUCGCGAGCCUUCGUCAUCCAAGGUUCACAAAAGGCAAAAGUAAAAAAAUAAAAAUAAAACAAAAUGGCGAAGUGACUUGUUUGAGAUCCAUCACCGAUGGAAGAAGAAUUCCGAAUAAAAUGCACGUCACCGUAUGAGUGGAUGCGAGGGAAAAAAAGGGGCUACCUUAGUUGUUGAUCUGGCACUAUGGAACCACUAACGAGAGUGUAGGCAAAAUUAGUGGAAUCGUACUUUUAUCCUUCUUGACAUUUUCAUCAUUGCUUGAGAGAACAAAAAUUAUAAGACAAAAUGCUAUUAGCCAAAUUUAAAUGUUGCAUUCCAACAUUCAUUCCACUUAUUUUCGCUUUCAAUAGAAGGCGAGGGGAAAAAAGAUAAGUAUCGGUAAAUAACCCACUUAUUUUCCCAUCUGCUUGUGUUUCUUUUUCUUAUUCUUAUCAGUAAAUAAUCCAUCUGCUCGUGUUGUCCAUUCCUUCUGGAGUAGUAGUAAGACUGUCAUGCCUUUGAUAUAAAAUUUGCUAUUCCUUCUACUUUAUUCGAGUCUUCACAACAAAUUCACAUGUAAUUUUUUCACAAUCAUAGAAGUUUUGAGGGAGAAAAAAUUACUUUAUGAAAAAAAAGGCCCUUGCUUAACACGAUAAAUUGGCUUUAAUAGACAUGAUCAUAGGCAACCAAACAAAAUCCCACAAAACCAUGUCCGCCCGUCACCGGCUAAACUACUUUACAUCAAUAUCACAACUUCGCAAGUGACAAGUUCGCAGUCCACGGGCUUAAACUCAAAGCAAAGGGGGAAAAAUCAAGAAGAAAAGGUAGCGAGCUAGCGACGACUCCCGCAAGCUACUGCUGGUCGUCGUCGAGAUCCUCGGCUUCCUGAUCUUCUGUGAUCGUCUCUAAUUCCGUAUGUGUGAAACUUCUGCUGCGAGCCGGGACAAGAAGAGCCGGCGCCGCCUCCAUCCAUGGACUCAUCGAUCCUUCGAUUCCCUUCGCCAUAUGUUGCGAUCGCGAUUCCCGGCUCCGCUUCGAGAGCCCAAGCUUUGCUCGACUCGACCGAGUGAGCUCCGGUUGAAAUCGCUAGAAGAAGAAGAGGAGGAGAAUUCCACAACUGCUCUGGGAGAGAUGGGGACUCUGUGAGAGAGACCGAAAUUGUUGGGUGUUGGAGAAAAUCGGGGGGAGAGCGGCGGUUUUUAAUACGGGGGGCGAGGACAACUUUUUGACUGCUCGAAGGAAAACGUGGGGUUUGUUGCUACUUGGGGAAGCUUCGUCCUCCCUUCACUUUCACAUGUUUGUAAGGCCAAAGGCACGUGGGGGAACAAGAGACGUGUGAACGCGGUCGGGCCCCAUUAAUUAAAAGCAAAAUCUCAUCAAAUUAAUUAAUUUUUUUCCCCGUGCAUGACGUUAUACCAAACUCUUUCCGGAAAACCAAUGCCCUAGAUUUGUACUAGUGACUUGAUUAUACUUUUUGUUAAUACUACUUUUUUCAGUUAAUAUUACAAACAAUUAUAAAAUGGUAUACUUAUUAUAUAUGUAGAAUAAAACUUCAAAACGGUAUACUCGUCAACCGUGACGUGUCAUGCAAUUUAACAAUUUGAUUAAUAGAUAGUGAAUUCGGCAUAAAUGUAAUAGAUUUGGAAGUUUUAGAGUGUCAAAAAAAUAGUUUAGAAUAAAUUUGUUAAAUGUGUAUUGAUUUGAGAUUUCUUAUGAUGUUAACUUUAGAUUUUUAAAUCUUCGAUGCAGCAGAGUGCAUGAACAACAAUGAAUCGAAUUUUCUACUGUCAUUACAGAUGAAAGUUCAAUAAAAUGUAUUUUUGGAUCAUUGGUACAAAUUAGGAUAUUAAUAAGACAAAAAAAAUUGAGGUAUUGGUGUCCACUGGAACAAGUUUGCGAAUUUUGGUGAAUUUUUUCUUAAUGCAAUUGAUUGGAAAAUGAUGUGGACCGUGAGGCCGCGCACUCACAAAAAUUCCUUCUUGUGCACUCAAGCCUCGAGCAACCCAACUAUUGCAUGUACUGGAUGCAUCGCCGAAACCUAGACAUCGGUAACAUCGAUUAUGGUAGGAUUCCUCUGUUUUACACGUAGGGCAACCACACUCAAUAAGGCAUAAUAAUACGGGGUGCAUGCAUUUGCUCUGUACAAUAACUUUUCCUAAACAAUAAUCGAACUAUCAGAUCGCAUGAGUUAGUACGUAGCGGCCAAUUUGAUUCGAGGACGCAUGCAUACACACCAAAGGACAUGCUAAACUUUGGAGGGAAUUUGGUUGGGAAUAUUUUUUAUUUUGUCCAUCCAUGGAAUACUUUCACUACCUAAAUUUCUGAUUAGUCAAUGAUGAAUAAAGACAUCACCCGAUUUUAAUUCUAGUUAAGCUUUGAUCUUCAUGUAUUGAAAGGUUCGAAAAACUUAUACAUGUUGAUUUCACAGACCAAUUUAAACAUAAUUAUUUUGCGAUUUUUAACUUUUAUUUAUUAUAUUUUUAAUUUGAGGGGACUGGAAAAGAAAAAUUACUUUAUUAGAACAAGAGGCCCUUCCUUAACACGAAAAGUCGGUUUUCAUUGAUAUGAUCGUAGACAACCAAAAAAAAUUCCACAAAUCCAUGCACAGCUUCCCAGUUCACGCGCUUAUGCACAGAGCAAAGGGAAAAAAAAGAAAAAAAAGAACAGGGAGUGGACCAGCCACAACUUCCCACCAAAAAAUAAGAGGAAAAAGAAGAAGAAAAUCUGCUAUUCAUCACCGAGAUCCUCAACUUCCUGAUCCUCUCUAAUCGUCUUCAAUUGAGGAUGUCUGCAACUUCUGUCACGAGCCGGCACGACCUCCAUCCACAGUCUCAAUCCUCCGAUUCCCUUGACUAUGUUGGUACUGCGAUUCCCGAUUUAGAUUCGAUAGAUUUGAUUUGGUGUGGUAAUGGCUUGAAGAAAACAUGGCAUUCGUCACGAUUUAUUUGACACAUUCGUUCGCAUUCAAAAUUUUAUGAACAGCUUGUACGUGUCACCAGUCAUGGACUAGUGGUGGUAGUGUCUAACGGCCAGGCUAGGCUGUGCUUAGACUCCAAUGUGGACGAGCAACCAUAGAAUCUUUGGAUGGCUUUGGAGAUCGAGAUAAGCGAGGCCAAAUCUAAAUGAGUGAUGAUGGAGCUGACCACGAGCCACGAGUCACGACGAAUGGGGUAGCAGGUUACCAUCCAUGUACGAACGAGAGUCACGUCUGUGGACGAGCGACCUCGCUAGUCUUGGACCAGCAAGUGUAGUUAGUGUACUAGCUCUCCAUAUUUGGCUGUUGAUGUCACUCCUCACUAACCGUGCUAGCUUUUUAGAUUUGGCCAUCCAUCGCCGUCGGUGUUAGGGGUGUGCAUGGUCCGGGCGGGCGGUUCCCGACCUAGAACCGGGAACCGCCUGCUAAGGACCGAUUCUGAAAAAUCGAAACCGGGAUCCAUCCGGGAACCGGACCGCUGGUCCGGUCCGGUUCCCGGGUGGAUCCAUGGAACCGAUUUUGACGCCAAAAAUUCUGGUUAUCAACAGCGAAACAAUUUUGGUUUCCCGGACCGCCGGUCCGGAAGUUUUGAGCUCUAAAAUUCCAAGUUUCAAUCUCCAAAAACUAAAACAAUAAUUAAUAGACGAAUAAUAGACGAAUUUCUUUUGCAUUAGUCCUCCCUCUCAAGCUCAUUAUCCACCAUGAAGCGUGCCUCUGCCUAACUUCCUCUCGAUGUUGCUGUGAAACUCCAACCAAGCGGUGUUUUCGUUGAAGCAAAGCUCCUUUCCACGCCAGAGAGCCGUUGGAGGGAGAAGCAAAUCAAUAGGGUACUACAAUUGCAAGUCUUUCAUUACUAUACAAGGCCGUAGACAAUUAAAUCACCUGCACAAAUGCGAAGGGGCGGACAGCAGUGGCAGAGGAGCAACAACGGCGGCGUUGAGGCUUAGGGAGGAAUCAAAGACGAAGGGACUGAGCGUCGGCGAGGGGGGCGGACAGCAGAGGCGGAGGAGCAGCGGUUGUGGCAACCGGCGCGAGGGGGCGGACAGUGGCCGAGGAGGAGCAGCGGCGGCGGCGUGGAUGCUUGGUGAGGAAUCGAAGAUGAGGAGAAGAGAUUGAGGAAGAAACAGAGAGAUAAUCAAAGACUGAGGAAGAAAUCGGAAGAGAAUCAAGAGAUGAGACGCAAAUUAGGACUUCGUACCUUGUUGAGUGACGGAAAAGGGGCUCGUCGGCUCGGUCGAGAGUUCUUGCAGAGGCGGAGGAGCAGCGGUUGUGGCGAGUGAUGACCGGCAUGAGGGGGCGGACAGUGGCGGAGGAGGAGCAGCGGCGGCGGCGUGGAUACUUGGGGUGGAACCGUGGAAUCGAAGACGAAGAGAAGGAAAGGAACAGAGAGAAUCGAAGGCUGAAGAAGAAGAAACACGAAUUAAGGCUUCGCGAAUUAGGGGCAGGGGGCUUCGCGACUUUUUUUUUUUUUUUUAAUUAUAAAUAGUACUGGUCCGGUUUGGGUGGGUGGGCGAGCGGGCGGAUCCGCCCACGGAAUCGGGAACCAGACCGGUUCCCACUGGUUCUCAACAAUUGGACCUGGGAACCGGACCAGUUCCCUUGAGAACCGCCGGUUCCGAGCGGUUCGGGUCCGGUUUCGGGCGAUUCCCCGGUCCAAUGCACACCCCUAGUCGGUGUCUCUUGCGAGCCUUACUCGUCCAUGGGCAGUGAUGCUACCGGCUCUCUAGAUCUGGCCAAUCAUGGAAUUUAAGAGUGGAUGUGAGGGGAAAAAAAAAGGGUGCUACCUUAGCCGUUGAUAUGGCACUUUAGAACCACUAACGAGAGUGUAGGCAAAAUGAGUGGAAUUGUACUUUUAGCCUUUUUGAAAUUUUCAUCAUUGCUUUUAAGAAAAAAAUUAUAAGACAAAAUGCUACUAGCCAAAUUUAAAAGGGUUGCAUUCCAAUAUUCAUUCUACUCAUUUUCGCUUUCAAUAGAAGGCGAGGGGAAAAAAGGAUAAUUAUCAGUAAAUAACCCUCUUAUUUUCCCAACCGCUUGUGUUUCUUUUUCUUAUUUUGAUCAAUUAAUAAUCCCUCUGCUCGUGUUGUCCAUUCCUUACGGAGUAUUAGCAAGACCGUCAUGACUUCGAUUUUUCCUAUAUGCAGCUUAGUAAUAUCAAGGAUAUAAAAUUUGCUAUUCCUGCUACUUUAUUCGAGCGUUCACAACAAAUUCACCUGUAAUUUUUUCACGAUUGUAGAAAUUUUUGGGGGAAAAAAUUACUUCAUGAAAAAAAAGGGCCUUGCUUAACACGAUAAAUUGGCUUUGAUAGACAUGAUCGUAGGCAACCAAACAAAAUUCCACAAAUCCAUGUCCGCCCGUCACUGGCUAAACUACUUUACAUCAAUGUCACGACUUCGCAAGUGACAAGUUCGCAGUCCACGGGCUUAAACUCAAAGCAAAGGGGAAAAAAAUCAAGAAGAAAAGGUAGCGAGCUAGCGACGACUCCCGAAAGAUACUGCUAGUCGUCGUCAAGAUCCUCGGCUUCCUGAUCUUCUGCGAUCGUCUCCAAUGCCGCAUAUUUGAAACUUCUGCCGCGAGCCGCGACGAGAAGAGCCGGUGCCGCCUCCAUCCACGGGCUCAUCGAUCCUCCGAUUCCCUUCGCCAUAUGUCGCGAUCGCGAUUCCCGACUCCGAUUCGAGAGCUCAAGCUCAAGCUUUGGUCGAAGAGUAAGCUCGACUGGGUGGGUUAGCUCCGGUUGAAAUCGCUGGAAGAAGAAGAAGAGAAUUCCACAACUGCUCGGAGAGAGAUGGAGACUUAGAGAGAGAGAGAGAGAAUGUUGGAUGGUUCGACAAAAUCGGGGGGCGAGAGGCGGUUUUUAUCAUGGAGAGCAAGGA